This 738-nucleotide ribosomal RNA is filed under the name uncultured archaeon. Its description in RNAcentral is "bacterial SSU rRNA". It matches the Rfam family "Archaeal small subunit ribosomal RNA", at positions 31 to 771 of the family's 1478-position model. The record is from RNAcentral.
AAUUGUGAUUCGAUUUAGCCUGCUAGUCGCACGAGUUCAGACUCGUGGCGAAUAGCUCAGUAACACGUGGCCAAACUACCCUUCGGAGCACAAUACCCUCGGGAAACUGAGGCUAAUAGUGCAUACCACAAUCCACCUGGAAUGAGGAUUGUGCCAAACGCUCCGGCGCCGAAGGAUGUGGCUGCGGCCGAUUAGGUAGACGGUGGGGUAACGGCCCACCGUGCCAAUAAUCGGUACGGGUCAUGAGAGUGAGAACCCGGAGACGGAAUCUGAGACAAGAUUCCGGGCCCUACGGGGCGCAGCAGGCGCGAAACCUUUACACUGCACGCCAGUGCGAUAAGGGAAUCCCAAGUGCGCAGGCAUAGAGCCUGCGCUUUUGUUCACCGUAGGGAGGUGAACGAAUAAGGGCUGGGCAAGACCGGUGCCAGCCGCCGCGGUAAUACCGGCAGCCCGAGUGAUGGCCGAUCUUAUUGGGCCUAAAGCGUCCGUAGCUGGCCGCGCAAGUCUAUCGGAAAAUCCACCCGCUCAACGGGUGGGCGUCCGGUAGAAACUGCGUGGCUUGGGACCAGAAGGCGCGACGGGUACGUCCGGGGUAGGAGUGAAAUCCCGUAAUCCUGGACGGACCGCCGAUGGCGAAAGCACGUCACGAGGACGGAUCCGACAAUGANGGGACGAAAGCCAGGGUCUCGAACCGGAUUAAAUACCCGGUAGUCCUGGCCGUAAACAAUGUCUUGUUAA